Long non-coding RNA from Alligator sinensis (Chinese alligator), 186 nucleotides. RefSeq lists it as uncharacterized. The record is from RefSeq and is a predicted model, not a curated record. NCBI's taxonomy places the organism in Eukaryota, Metazoa, Chordata, Crocodylia, Alligatoridae. The transcript is spliced from 3 exons.
CCCCGCCGCCGCCGGAGCAGCCCCGGCGCCCGCGCGCCCCACGACCCACCCGCCGAGCCGCCCGCUGCAGCCGCCGGCAAGAAGGGGACCCCGCGAGCCGCAUAUGUGGAUAAAGCAGCUGGUAAAGGAGGACGCUAACGUUGGUGCGUCUAUCUUCCCACUGGAUUCGGAGGAUCUUCUGCAGGC